UUUCAGAUUCUGAUUCCAGUCUAUUUAUAAUGGGUGUGGCUGUGGCUGGGGGUGUGGCCGGGGGAGUGGUCCUCACUAUCAUCCUUUUAAAAGUUGUACCAUGUUGCUGCCGAAGACAGACAGGUGCUGUGUCCAAAACGUCCAGUGCAGCACUUGGUUUGGCAGACAGAAAUACCACUGAGUCUCAGGAUAAGUGUCAUGAAG
Molecule: long non-coding RNA, 204 nt
Organism: Sardina pilchardus (European sardine)
Lineage: Eukaryota; Metazoa; Chordata; Actinopteri; Clupeiformes; Clupeidae
Exons: 3
Source: RefSeq, a predicted model, not a curated record